AAGAUCUUUCUACUUCAUGCCUUUUAAUCUUCCUUGGAUUGAAAAAAACCUAGCUUUAACAGUGAUGCCAUAACUGUGAUGGGAGCCGAACACUAUCAGUAAUUAAAAGGCGGGAACCAGGGAUGAUGGAUGUCCUGCAUUGCACAGCUCUGCCCAUCUAAGUUGUACUGUGCAGUCUCUGACCCCUAGCAUCUGCCAACAAGGUCCUUUUAAAGUUGGAAAAUGUUUAAGAUUUGGAGGGAGCACUCCUUGGUGGGAAGCUUUUGAGAGCACGAGGAGAGGGAGAGAAGCCGAUUCCCUGCUGAGCCAGAAUACUGAUGUGGGUCUGAGUGUCAGGACGGUGGAUCAGACACUUCAGCAGGCUGAGCCAUCUAAGCGCCCUUUUGGAAGUUGUUCUUAUUUCAAAACCUGACAUUGCUUGAAGGGCACGUGUGUUUUUUGCACUUUUGUAAACAUUUAUUUUUGAAUAAUUUUAUAUUUACAGAAAAGGUGCAAAGAUGUUACAAAGGUGCGCUAAUUGACUGUUUACUUGGUUUUCCACUAAAGUCCUUUACACAGUUGCAGGGUCCAAUCCAGGAUACCUCACUGCAUUUAGUUUUGCACAUUUUUAACAUCCAGCAAUUUGUCAAAAGAUAGGACUGUAAAUUGAAGAGGAGACUGUUUUAAGUUUUAAAUUCUAAAUUCAUAUGUCACUUGGGGUGUUUGGCUUGCUAACAGCAAGUCUAGUUGUGCAUUUUCAGCUGUAAAUUUCAAAAGGAUUACAUUUGUAGGGGCUGACCUGACUUCAUUAUGUCUUUGUGUUAAAUUAUUCCCAAGCAUCAACGUGUUCAAGUAUGUGUGUGUGUGGGUGUGUAUUGUUGGCUACAUGUUUUCCUUUAAUCGAUUUUAACUCUUGUCCCUCUAGGCCAGUAGUUCUCAACCUUUUUAGUCUCAGGACACCUGUAUAUUCUUAAUCAUAUCGAGGACCCCAAAGAUCCUUUUUGUUUACAUGGGUUUUAUCUACUGAUGCUUAACCAUGUUUAAAAAUUUGAGAGAUUUAAGAAUAAUUGUUUUAAAGAUAAUAAACCCAUUGUUAAUGUUUUUAUGAGGAAAAGAACCUUCCAAAAAAUUAGUGGUAUUCAACGUUUUUGUAAUCUUUGAACUCUCUGGCUUAAUAGAAGCCAGAUUAUCACGUCUGCUGUGUUAAGUCUAUCGUGAUAACGUGGUUUUGGUUGGAUUCUAUGUAGCGUAUCCAGCUUCAUUCCUGUCCUUGGAGAAGAGAAGCACUUUAAGAAUUAUUCUCAGGUGGUUGGUGUGGGUAUUCUUUGAUACAACACCAAAAACUCAAGUGGUAAUUUAAUUAUGUGGUAUCCUAAAUCGUAUCGAUGAGCUUUUCAUGCUGUUAAUUAAACUCCAUUGGCUCCA
This 1404-nucleotide long non-coding RNA is filed under the name Canis lupus familiaris (dog). RNAcentral describes it as "lncRNA (ENSCAFG00845007109.1)". The record is from RNAcentral. Lineage: Eukaryota; Metazoa; Chordata; Mammalia; Carnivora; Canidae.